This 440-nucleotide ribosomal RNA is filed under the name uncultured bacterium. Its description in RNAcentral is "partial 16S ribosomal RNA". It matches the Rfam family "Bacterial small subunit ribosomal RNA", at positions 338 to 795 of the family's 1533-position model. The record is from RNAcentral.
CCUACGGGUGGCUGCAGUAGGGAAUAUUGCUCAAUGGGGGAAACCCUGAAGCAGCAACGCCGCGUGGAGGAAGAAGGUUUUAGGAUUGUAAACUCCCUUUGUUAGAGGAGAUUAUGACGGUAUCCAACGAAUAAGCACCGGCUAACUCAGUGCCAGCAGCCGCGGUAAUACGGAGGGUGCAAGCGUUACUCGGAAGCACUGGGCGUAAAGAGUGCGUAGGCCGGGUAUUAAGUCAGAGUGGAAAUCCUGUAGCUUAACUACAGAACUGCAUUUGAAACUGUUGCUCUGGAGUGUGGGAGAGGUAGGUGGAAUUCUUGGUGUAGGGGUAAAAUCCGUAGAGAUCAAGAGGAAUACUCAUUGCGAAGGCGACCUGCUGGAACAUUACUGACGCUGAUGCACGAAAGCGUGGGGAGCAAACAGGAUUAGAUACCCUAGUAGUC